AUUGAACGCUGGCGGCAUGCCUAACACAUGCAAGUCGAGCGGAUGAAUGGAGCUUGCUCCUGGAUUCAGCGGCGGACGGGUGAGUAAUGCCUAGGAAUCUGCCUUGUAGUGGGGGAUAACGUCCGGAAACGGGCGCUAAUACCGCAUACGUCCUGAUGGAGAAAGUGGUGGAUCUUCGGACCUCACGCUAUCAGAUGAGCCUAGGUCGGAUUAGCUAGUUGGUUGGGUAACGUCCUACCAAGGCGACGAUCCGUAACUGCUCUGAGAGGAUGAUCAGUCACACUGGAACUGAGACACGGUCCAGACUCCUACGGGAGGCAGCAGUGGGGAAUAUUGGACAAUGGGCGAAAGCCUGAUCCAGCAAUGCCGCGUGAGUGAAGAAGGUCUUCGGAUUGUAAAGCACUUUAAGUUGGGAGGAAGGGCAGUAAGUUAAUACCUUGCUGUCUUGACGUUACCAACAGAAUAAGCACCGGCUAACUUCGUG
This 484-nucleotide ribosomal RNA is filed under the name uncultured bacterium. Its description in RNAcentral is "partial 16S ribosomal RNA". It matches the Rfam family "Bacterial small subunit ribosomal RNA", at positions 30 to 507 of the family's 1533-position model. The record is from RNAcentral.